This 3640-nucleotide long non-coding RNA is filed under the name Neodiprion pinetum (white pine sawfly). Its description in RNAcentral is "uncharacterized LOC124219902". The record is from RNAcentral. Lineage: Eukaryota; Metazoa; Arthropoda; Insecta; Hymenoptera; Diprionidae.
ACCUCGCCAAUAGCCGAUGGAUGGAUGGACGGAUGGGAUUCGCGAAGUAGGAGCUUGCAGGCAGUUCAAUUAAUAUAACACGUAACCUCUCCUCGGAACACUUCACUUUACCUGAGCUUUCGCCGAAGAACUAAGGGAAAAACUCUCCCGCAACUGCGGCGGUUCUUCCGCGUUUCUAACGUCCGUAAACCUCCAGCCGGCGCGGCCGCAGAGCGGGAACUGGCUUGGCAUCCUCCUCGACCUCGUGCGCGACUCGGAGACGCUUCUCAAAGUUACCCGGCGGGCGCAGAGCGUCGCGACGCGACGCGUCGCGCACCCCCGAUUCAACCCGCCCCGUCACUCGGCUGGGGGAGAAAAGUUUUAACCAAGUUUUUCCCCGGCGCGAUUCCACCCUCCGUCUCUUCCCUACCUUCAACCACCCCCUCCACCAAAGACUACGAAGCUGUGUUAUUACGAGCGGCAUUCCGCUUUCUGAGCUGCGCAAAAUCGGCCCGGAACACGAACGAUGUACAUUCAUCGACUCUCUGGAUUGUACAGCAUUGGUCAUGCAGUCCCGUAAUCGAAAUCUUUACACAAGGAAAGCUUGUGUUUCUGUUUCGAAAUUCACAGACAGCGGUACUCGGAGUAAGAGUCGGCCGCGAGUAUCGAGUAGGUAUAAAAGUAAAAACUAUACGUCGCGGUCAUUCCCCGAUUGAAUGAAUAAUAAUAACGUUGAAACUCAUGCCAACCGGCGGUGACUAGUUUCUGAACUUUGAAUAGAGCCGCGCGACAUGCGGGGAAUUGAUUAGUUUUCCUGCCGUUAUCCACUUAAAUGCCACGAUAAUUAUAGAGAGCUUCUUUGAAAGUUUGCAUCGACACUUGGAACGAAGUUUGCUCGUACUGAUUGAAAUUUGGUACUGGAAAUCAAGUUUCACGGUUAAUAUACAUCCGACCAAACACUGUUUUCACAAAACCGAAAAAGUCUAGUCGAUUUUAUAUUGUAAUGUCCAAAAAAAGGUUUGGCAUCGCAAUCCCGUAGAUUCUGAUGCGAUACGGAUCUAGAUCUAGAUCUAGAUAGGAAUAGAUUUACGAUGUAACAUAUUAUUUGAUAGCGGUAAUCAAUCGGUAACUCUCAUCAUUUCGCGAAGACUGAUCUUUAACCACCGAAUAGAUUUAUUGAACUGUUCAAUACUUUGAUAAUAUCAUUAAAAAGAUAUUGUUUCUUUAAAUUGACGAGAUAAAAUUUCCGAAUUCGUAUUUACAAGUAAACUUCAUGCAAUAGAAUUUUUUCGCGAUUUUAAAACAAUUAUUUCAUUAAUUUUGAUGUUUGCAACAAAAUAUUGUGUUCCCGCGAUGAAAUUCACUGCAAAAUGUGACUUUUUUUUUCUCCCCCGAAUAGAGUUCAUAAUAAUCGAAGAAUCUCGUCGGACGAUUUUAAAAUUCUUUUAUCACGAGUGUAAGGUGAUGCGUAUUAUUACUAUACAUAGGAAAAGAGGAACUUAAGCGUGACUGUAAUUCUUGGACUGUGCAGUUCACCAGGGGAUGAGAAAACAAGCAAUGAAGUAUAAUAUAAGGUAAGGGGGGAGGGGGGGGGGGGGGGGGGGCGGAGAACCUAUCCCCAAAACAACAUCCCUGGACGAAGUUUAACUUGCCAAAGAGCAAUAUGACUACGUUUCUCUUAGACUUGAUUUUAACGAGAAGUUGCCAGCGGUGAAAAAGUUUCCUCGUCGAUGUUAAAAUCGGAAAAAUUUUUCCCUCCGCGUUUUUCCCACAGCGCGAGUCUGUACACAUACAUACAUACAUACAUACACACAUAUAUAUAUAUAUAUAUAUAUCUAUAACGUCGCAUAGGUAUACAAAAGUUUUGUCAAAAACUUUGCGGAUAGAAACAUUACGAGGGGGGAAAAACUUUGAUCUGAAAUUCCGGUCCGAGUUAUCUGUGUACCAAAGUACAUGUAUGUAUAAAUAUACGUAGCUCUGAAAUCAUGAAAAAUAAGUAUGCGACCAACUGACUGACUGUAUUGAUAUAUUUUUUAGCGAUUGAUAGACAGUUUCCAAUCCAAAGUCGCUUCGUCGAUAAAACGGACAAUUUAGGUUAAAAUCUAUCGUCUGUAAUCGAUGUAUUACGACAAUGUUACGUCACACGGUACACAGAACUUUUCGUUCUAUCGUUUCCACCGGGGGCGAAAAGUCCUGCUGACUGUGUAAGGGGAGAGAAAGUAGCAAAAACAUAAAAAGGAUAAAAUAAAAAAAAAAAAAAAAAAAAAAAAAAUUUCAAAGGACAUCGAGGACCGGGCUAAUUAAUUGUAAUGAAAAUUGGUAAAACUUUUAGGCAUUCGCGUGGCGAGGCUUAUUGUUCUGCACGUUGCGUUAUAAUAUAUGAUGCGGGAAAAGAGCGACGAGAAGUUGAAUUAAAGAGGGGCGCGUAAAAUACGGUUGUGAAAAAUAAUAAAUUCCACUUGUUACGUCGACGACGGCGGCGUCGCCCGGUUGCCAGGGCAAUGAAUCGCGGAUUGAUGCAGAACUUCACGCCGGGAUUACCGAGCACCCCCAACAACCCGGGAAUUAUACGUGGAAUAUCUCUUUCACGUCCCAUGUCCGCAAAUCGAGGAAUAGAUCCCCUUCAGCUACGAAAGGAUAGAUUAUUAUACAACUAUUCCAAAGAGGUAUUAACGCAAUUUUAUUUUGUUUUUCCGUGGACGCAAAUGUUCGCGCAUGUAUAACGAACAUUGAGGGUGGAUUUUGGUGGGGAAAAAUUGGCGAGUAAUCGGUAAUUACUGCAUGCCCGUUAUUAAUUAUUCGUUUACUUUAGAUCGGAUUUUUAUACUAUUUUCGCAUCGGAACCGAUGUUAUGUAUUUAUUUAUAAUCGGUGGAUUAUUCCAUUUAUAUUUUAAUUUCGCUAAUGGUCGCGAACUGUACGUGAAUACGGGAAUAAUAAAGGCUUCGCUUAAUUCCUGCUGUCUGCAAGUCAUCGCUCCUCGCCACCGCUAGACACCAACAUUUUCAUUAACCAACCGUCCCAAUUCCCCUCGAACGAGAGAAUAUUUUCCUCUCAGCCUACUUUGUCAGGCCGUUGAAAACGGCGAAAAGAAGUGAACAAUUCGGAGCAACGGAGAAGAGAAAAAAAAGAGGAAAAUUUUGAUUUUCACAUCUGUUAAUUUCUAGAUCAAACGCAUUGGGAAAUAAUUAUCGAAGCCUGAGCGAUGAAGAUAAUAAUCACCGAAUAUUGCAAAGAAAAUGAGAACUGAAAAACGGGAUGACGUAUAUAAUUCGUUCUAAAUCUUGAAUCGCGUGUGCCCCGAUAAAAUCUUUCAAUCAUACUCCCAUUAGGAUAAUAAUUAGCGAGAGGAUAAAGGAUUUUCAAUUUUUGAUUGAAUUCAGCGUUUGUGGGUUAUAGAAUUAAUUCGGAGUCCCGUAUAAUUCCGUUAAUUAUUAGUGACACUCGAGUUACAUAAUUUGACAAAAAGCACGCUCUCGCCAAAAGCCAAUUAACCGGCAAGGCUCGAAUUCCGUUUCUCUUUUUGCUCGCUCGACGCGAUCAGAGACUCGGCGAGUGUAAUGGAGGGAGAGACGGACGGACGGGCCGCAAGUUUUCCGAAGAAAAAUCCGUCGCGUGACGUCGCACGGAUGAGAUCCUGAACAAGGUGGAACUGCCGGGAA